GGCAUGUUUAGCUGUGUUACAAGCAGAGGAACUUCAUACUGGUAGUUUCAGAAAUUAAUGGGGCAGCUUCCCAAUAUGCCUUGGAGUAUUCAUUCAAUCAUGCUGUUUUUUGCUCUUGGAGACGUGCUGCUGGUUUCCACAGAGGCACUUCGCACAGCAAUAAUUAAAAUUAGCAAAACGACUGCAGUGGAAGGGGAGACCAUUGAAUUCAGAUGUGUGAUAUCAGCUGUGCACGGAGAACAAGCAGAGAACAAGGGGAGGAAUUGGUUCCAUUUAUAUAAAAACAGAGAGAAGAUCAGCUCACAGCUGGAGUCUGGAGGAAGGGGAGCUGUCACAUUUAUAAAACAAGACAUCAGAAAGAAUGACGCUGGAAACUAUACCUGCAUGUAUGGGAAUGAGAAUCCAGGAGAUGUGCAAAACAUCAGCCAUGGCUCUUCAGUUCAUCUCAAUG
Polyodon spathula (Mississippi paddlefish) is the source of this 451-nucleotide long non-coding RNA. RefSeq lists it as uncharacterized. The transcript has 3 exons. The record is from RefSeq and is a predicted model, not a curated record. NCBI's taxonomy places the organism in Eukaryota, Metazoa, Chordata, Actinopteri, Acipenseriformes, Polyodontidae.